RNAcentral lists this ribosomal RNA (666 nucleotides) under uncultured bacterium. RNAcentral describes it as "bacterial SSU rRNA". It matches the Rfam family "Bacterial small subunit ribosomal RNA", at positions 122 to 806 of the family's 1533-position model. The record is from RNAcentral.
UAACCUGCCUUGCACUGGGGGAUAACACUUAGAAAUAGGUGCUAAUACCGCAUAAGCGCACAGAACCGCAUGGUUCGGUGUGAAAAACUCCGGUGGUGUAAGAUGGACCCCCGUCUGAUUAGCUGGUUGGUGAGGUAACGGCUCACCAAGGCGACGAUCAGUAGCCGGCCUGAGAGGGUGAACGGCCACAUUGGGACUGAGACACGGCCCAAACUCCUACGGGAGGCAGCAGUGGGGAAUAUUGCACAAUGGGGGAAACCCUGAUGCAGCAACGCCGCGUGAGUGAAGAAGUCAUUCGUGAUGUAAAGCUCUAUCAUCAGGGAAGAAAAUGACGGUACCUGACUAAGAAGCCCCGGCUAACUACGUGCCAGCAGCCGCGGUAAUACUUAGGGGGCAAGCGUUAUCCGGAUUUACUGGGUGUAAAGGGAGGGUAGACGGCGAAGCAAGUUUGAAGUGAAAUGCCACUGCUCAACACUGGAACUGCUUUGGAAACUGUGUGGUUAGAGUGCUGGAGAGGUAAGUGGAAUUCCUAGUGUAGCGGUGAAAUGGGUAGAUAUUAGGAGGAACACCAGUGGGGAAGGCGGCUUAUUGGACUGUAAAUGACGUUGAGGCUAGAAGGCGUGGGGAGCAAACCGGAUUAGAUACCCUGGUAGUUCACGCGGUAAA